CGGGAGGCAGCAGCUAAGAAUAUUCCGCAAUGGACGAAAGUCUGACGGAGCGACGCCGCGUGGAUGAUGAAGGCCGAAAGGUUGUAAAGUCCUUUUGCUGGGGAAGAAUAAGCGAGGGAGGGAAUGCCCGCGUGAUGACAUGAACCGGCGAAUAAGCCCCGGCUAACUACGUGCCAGCAGCCGCGGUAACACGUAGGGGGCGAGCGUUGUUCGGAAUUACUGGGCGUAAAGGGCAUGUAGGCGGCCUUGUAAGCUUGGCGUGAAAGUCCACGGCUUAACCGUGGGAUUGCGUUGAGAACUGCGAGGCUUGAGUGACGGAGAGGGAGCUAGAAUUCCUGGUGUAGGGGUGGAAUCUGUAGAGAUCAGGAAGAAUACCAAUGGCGAAGGCAAGCUCCUGGCCGAUGACUGACGCUGAGGUGCGAAAGUGUGGGGAUCAAACAGGAUUAGAUACCCUGGUAGUCCACACUGUAAACGAUGUGCACUAGGUGCUGGGGCGGAUGCCUCAGUGCCGUAGCUAACGUGAUAAGUGCACCCCCCU
RNAcentral lists this ribosomal RNA (538 nucleotides) under uncultured bacterium. Its description in RNAcentral is "bacterial SSU rRNA". It matches the Rfam family "Bacterial small subunit ribosomal RNA", at positions 342 to 873 of the family's 1533-position model. The record is from RNAcentral.